Molecule: non-coding RNA, 199 nt
Filed under: Buceros rhinoceros silvestris
Lineage: Eukaryota; Metazoa; Chordata; Aves; Bucerotiformes; Bucerotidae
Description: Eukaryotic small subunit ribosomal RNA
Rfam family: Eukaryotic small subunit ribosomal RNA
Source: Rfam by way of RNAcentral
CAGCAUGGCUCCAUCCUCUUUACUCCCUGCCAUUUGUACAUACUGCCAUCACUACUACCAGCUGGAGGUUCUCAGAUAGGACACAGAGGGUUUGGCCACAGUCCUGCCAGAGCAUUGAGAAGACAGUCAAAUGUGACUAUCUAGAGGAAGUAAAAGUUACAACAAGGUUUCCAUAGGUCAACCUGCAGAAGGAUCUCCC